CCCAUGCGUUCCUGUUUCGUGAAAGGAAAAGUCACAAAAAACCGUUUACUUAAACUUUCACGUUAUUUAUACCAAUUCAAAUUGUUAAUUCUUGAAAUUAUCAAUUUAUAACCAUUAGUUAAAAUAUAACAACUCUCUGGUUUAUGUAUGUGACGGGUUCUUAGACGAUUGGUGGGUCAUUUACCUUUUACAAUGAACAUCCUCGCGUAGUGUUAAUACAUUUUUUCUGAUGGUGUAACAGUACAUAUAAUUUAAAAUCAUUGAUUGGAAAAUGUCCUGUUUGGAAUGGACUCUUGUUAGUGCGUUUCUACUACACUUUGUCGCCGGUACACCUGACACUAUUCCCAACUUGAAGAUGAUUGCCACUCGUGUUUCUUUAGAGGCUGUCAAACUUUCAUGUUUGAUUUCUGGUGGGCAAGUUCAACAUUUGGAGUUUCAAAGAAAAUAUUCAGCUGGAGACGAGCUUGUUACUAUUGCCGGAAUAUCAAUCAUCAAUAAGACAUGUGAAUAUAAGUCAGCGGAUAAGGUACUGUGUUUAUGUCUGACAGCCAAUGAAGUUAUCUGUAUUGUCCUUGUACACCGGAACGAAACAGAGCACUCAUGGAAAUGUUCCUCAUUAUUAAAUGGACAUCUGUUUGGAAGCAAUAUUGUUAACGCCAGUGUUGAUGAGAACACUGUAGUUAACAACAACACCGACUCGUCUAAUACAGAACAUACAACAACCUCGACUCAGACACAAUUAUCUCCAGACAGUGGUAUUGUUCUCAUUUGUGUUGCCUCGGUUAUUUUACUUGGGGUCGUCAUUGGUGCUGUUCGUCAUCGAAGAAGUCUCCGGUAUUUGUUUAAACAUGCUAGAAACGGCUUUGGCAACAAUGAAACCUUUCAAUCUCCUACUACUUCAAGGCGAGGAUCUGUGCCCGUAAAUGUGUACAACACUUACUCAUUCGCAAAAUCUUUGGAUGACGAACCACAGAUAUUAGCUGAACCAUCCCAAAAACAAGUAUGUCAGUCCCUUCCUCGGGGUAUUCGCAGCGAAAUAUAUAGCGUGGCGUGUAUCGAACAUAUUGGCAGCGUAUCGAGCACGGAAGGAGAGCAAAAUGAUGACCAAGAUGCAGGUUAUGCAGAAAUCGAGUAAGUGACAUCAUCCACUCGCCACCAAUUGUGGAAGAUCUUAGAUUAUUUCUCAAAAAUUAAAAUGUAAAGCUGACCUGAUGGUAAACAACGAUCUUGAACUCAACCCUAAUUCACUGGUUACCGAAUUCGACAUGGACGAUCUACACUACGCAGCCGGUGGAAGGACACCGUUUGCUGAUGAAUGCUAAACGAUGGUGUACAAUACUGGUCUAUAUGUAUUAUUUGUAUGCACUUAAAAAAAAUGUUGCAUCAAAUGUCAAACGUUCACUUUCAAUUGAAAACAAUACAACAUUAUCAUAUUAGUUUGGUAAUGCAUCUUUGCUUUUUGACACCCAUGUUUUUCAAAGAUGACGAAAACAGUAUAUAAUACAGUGUAUCUUUAAUUGAAGCGAGGUAUUCUCCUUUUUUAUUGAUAUAUAAUUUGACGAUAUACACUUGUUCAUGUCAUGUAAGGCAAAAGUUCAACCAUUAGGAGAAGCCCGCUCUUAAAUCCAUCAUGUAGGCAAUUGUUAAGUACCUCAAAUAACCAUAUACUCAUAACAUUGUAUGUUGAAAUAUUGUACCAAAUGCCAAUUAUUGUUCAAAGCACAUCACACAUAUACUUAUUUAUAUCAUGUUCGCUUGUUUUCCACGUUUAGAUGGAAGUUUUUUUGUAUGCAAUUGUUUUUCAUUUGUGAUUGUGUUAAGUCGUGUUUUUUGUCAUUUGUGCUAAUUAUUGGCAAAUGCCGUGUAUUUGAUAAACUCAUAGUGCUUGAUGCAUUGCAAGUUUCUCACUGUUUAUAAUAGUAGUGUUUAUGCAUGUCUGGUAAACAAAUAAAACUGUGAUGAAUUCA
RNA transcript from Dreissena polymorpha, 1967 nucleotides. RefSeq lists it as uncharacterized. The transcript has 11 exons. The record is from RefSeq and is a predicted model, not a curated record. NCBI's taxonomy places the organism in Eukaryota, Metazoa, Mollusca, Bivalvia, Myida, Dreissenidae.